CCCGCACAAGCGGUGGAGCAUGUGGUUUAAUUCGAUGCAACGCGAAGAACCUUACCUGGGCUUGACAUCCCGAGAAUCUUCUGGAAACAGGAGAGUGCCCUUCGGGGAACUCGGUGACAGGUGCUGCAUGGCUGUCGUCAGCUCGUGUCGUGAGAUGUUGGGUUAAGUCCCGCAACGAGCGCAACCCUUGUCUUUAAUUGCCAUCAUUCAGUUGGGCACUUUAAAGAGACUGCCGGUGUCAAACCGGAGGAAGGUGGGAUGACGUCAAGUCCUCAUGGCCUUUAUGACCAGGGCUACACACGUACUACAAUGGCAGGUACAAAGGGCAGCCACUUAGCGAUAAGGCGCGAAUCCCAUAAAACCUGUCUCAGUCCGGAUUGGAGUCUGCAACUCGACUCCAUGAAGUUGGAAUCGCUAGUAAUCGCAGAUCAGCACGCUGCGGUGAAUACGUUCCCGGGCCUU
This 462-nucleotide ribosomal RNA is filed under the name uncultured Desulfocapsa sp. RNAcentral describes it as "bacterial SSU rRNA". It matches the Rfam family "Bacterial small subunit ribosomal RNA", at positions 920 to 1382 of the family's 1533-position model. The record is from RNAcentral. Lineage: Bacteria; Pseudomonadati; Thermodesulfobacteriota; Desulfobulbia; Desulfobulbales; Desulfocapsaceae.